This 468-nucleotide ribosomal RNA is filed under the name uncultured bacterium. RNAcentral's name for it is "partial 16S ribosomal RNA". It matches the Rfam family "Bacterial small subunit ribosomal RNA", at positions 28 to 507 of the family's 1533-position model. The record is from RNAcentral.
GACGAACGCUGGCGGCGUGCUUAACACAUGCAAGUCGAACGGAAAGGCCCUGCUUUUGUGGGGUGCUCGAGUGGCGAACGGGUGAGUAACACGUGAGUAACCUGCCCUUGACUUUGGGAUAACUUCAGGAAACUGGGGCUAAUACCGGAUAGGAGCUCCUGCUGCAUGGUGGGGGUUGGAAAGUUUCGGCGGUUGGGGAUGGACUCGCGGCUUAUCAGCUUGUUGGUGGGGUAGUGGCUUACCAAGGCUUUGACGGGUAGCCGGCCUGAGAGGGUGACCGGCCACCUUGGGCCUGCGAUACGGCCCAGACUCCUACGGUAGGCAGCAGUGGGGAAUAUUGCACAGUGGGCGGAAGCCUGAUGCAGCAACGCCGCGUGCGUGAUGACGGCCUUCGGGUUGUAAACCGCUUCCGCCUGUGACGAAGCGUGAGUGACGGUAAUGGGUAAAGAAGCACCGGCUAACUACGUG